GUCUACGGCCAUACCACCCUGAACGCGCCCGAUCUCGUCUGAUCUCGGAAGCUAAGCAGGGUCGGGCCUGGUUAGUACUUGGAUGGGAGACCACUCAGAUCAUGAUAUCAGGGUCCUGAGAUC
RNAcentral lists this ribosomal RNA (123 nucleotides) under Vulpes vulpes (red fox). The record is from RNAcentral. Lineage: Eukaryota; Metazoa; Chordata; Mammalia; Carnivora; Canidae.